RNAcentral lists this ribosomal RNA (468 nucleotides) under uncultured bacterium. RNAcentral describes it as "partial 16S ribosomal RNA". It matches the Rfam family "Bacterial small subunit ribosomal RNA", at positions 28 to 507 of the family's 1533-position model. The record is from RNAcentral.
GACGAACGCUGGCGGCGUGCUUAACACAUGCAAGUCGAACGGAAAGGCCCUGCUUUUGUGGGGUGCUCGAGUGGCGAACGGGUGAGUAACACGUGAGUAACCUGCCCUUGACUUUGGGAUAACUUCAGGAAACUGGGGCUAAUACCGGAUAGGAGCUCCUGCUGCAUGGUGGGGGUUGGAAAGUUUCGGCGGUUGGGGAUGGACUCGCGGCUUAUCAGCUUGUUGGUGGGGUAGUGGCUUACCAAGGCUUUGACGGGUAGCCGGCCUGAGAGGGUGACCGGCCACAUUGGGAAUGAGAUACGGCCCAGACUCCUACGGGAGGCAGCAGUGGGGAAUAUUGCAAAAUGGGCGGAAGCCUGAUGCAGCAACGCCGCGUGCGGGAUGACGGCCUUCGGGUUGUAAACCGCUUUCGCCUGUGACGAAGCGUGAGUGACGGUAAUGGGUAAAGAAGCACCGGCUAACAACGUG